Molecule: ribosomal RNA, 246 nt
Filed under: Pseudomonas sp. ATCC 13867
Lineage: Bacteria; Pseudomonadati; Pseudomonadota; Gammaproteobacteria; Pseudomonadales; Pseudomonadaceae
Description: partial 23S ribosomal RNA
Rfam family: Bacterial large subunit ribosomal RNA
Source: RNAcentral
CCGACUUACCAAACCGAUGCAAACUCCGAAUACCUGGAAGUGUCAGCGUGGGAGACACACGGCGGGUGCUAACGUCCGUCGUGAAAAGGGAAACAACCCAGACCGUCAGCUAAGGUCCCAAAGUUAUGGUUAAGUGGUAAACGAUGUGGGAAGGCUUAGACAGCUAGGAGGUUGGCUUAGAAGCAGCCACCCUUUAAAGAAAGCGUAAUAGCUCACUAGUCGAGUCGGCCUGCGCGGAAGAUGUAA